This 362-nucleotide RNase P RNA is filed under the name Oscillospiraceae bacterium. RNAcentral describes it as "RNase P RNA component class A". It matches the Rfam family "Bacterial RNase P class A". Rfam says of the family: Ribonuclease P (RNase P) is a ubiquitous endoribonuclease, found in archaea, bacteria and eukarya as well as chloroplasts and mitochondria. Its best characterised activity is the generation of mature 5'-ends of tRNAs by cleaving the 5'-leader elements of precursor-tRNAs. Lineage: Bacteria; Bacillati; Bacillota; Clostridia; Eubacteriales; Oscillospiraceae. The record is from RNAcentral.
UGAGUAGGCUGGGCAAUCGCGCAAAAUGCAAAUUUUGUGAGGAAAGUCCGAGCUCCAUAGAGCAGGAUAACGGCUAACGGCCGCCGAGGGCAACCUUAGGGAAAGUGCAACAGAGAAAUACCGCCUGUUGGAUUUCCAACAGGUAAGGGUGGAAAGGCGAGGUAAGAGCUCACCGGCGCGCGGGGAACCGCAGCGCCCUGUAAACCCUAUCCGGAGCAACACCGACCGGGGAACACCUGCCUUGGCAGGGCCCGCUUGCUCGGCGGAUUCCUCAACGGGUGGCAUGACAGCGCCAGCAAUGGCGUUGCUAGAUAAAUGACUGCCUUCAACGACAAAACUCGGCUUACAGGCCUACUCACAAA